AACGCACAUUGCGCUUCCUGGUAUUCCGGGAAGCAUGCCCGUUUCAGAAUCAAUAUAAAACCUCAUCUAGCUUGGGCGAGCUCUCGGGCUGUCCCUUGUUCAGGUGGAUUUGGAUUUUUGCGGUUUUGCAAUCAUCUCAAAAGCAUUGUAUGUGCGCCAAUUGAUCUUCUUUUGGUUGUCCAAAGUGCAACAGAGCAAUCUAUUUCGCUAAGACAGCUGGCUGGGAGCUUGGUCGUGCUUACCUUAAACUCAUUUACAGACUACAGAUCGGUAUGAUCUGUAAACCUGAGAACUUGAUCUGAAAUCGGGCAGGAAAACCCGCUGAACUUAA
This 331-nucleotide unclassified non-coding RNA is filed under the name uncultured Spizellomycetales. RNAcentral describes it as "sequence contains 5.8S rRNA gene, ITS2, 28S rRNA gene". The record is from RNAcentral. Lineage: Eukaryota; Fungi; Chytridiomycota; Chytridiomycetes; Spizellomycetales.